Molecule: RNA transcript, 3945 nt
Organism: Capra hircus (goat)
Lineage: Eukaryota; Metazoa; Chordata; Mammalia; Artiodactyla; Bovidae
Gene: CAMK2G
Gene name: calcium/calmodulin dependent protein kinase II gamma
Exons: 23
Source: RefSeq, a predicted model, not a curated record
CUCUCCCCGGUAAAGUCUCGCGGUGCUGCCGGGCUCAGCCCCGUCUCCUCCUCUUGCUCCCUCGGCCGGGCGGCGGUGACUGUGCACCGACGUCGGCGCGGGCUGCACCGCCGCGUCCGCCCGCCCGCCAGCAUGGCCACCACCGCCACCUGCACCCGCUUCACCGACGACUAUCAGCUCUUCGAGGAGCUCGGCAAGGGUGCUUUCUCUGUGGUCCGCAGGUGUGUGAAGAAAACGUCCACGCAAGAGUAUGCAGCAAAAAUCAUCAAUACCAAGAAGUUAUCUGCUCGGGAUCACCAGAAACUAGAACGUGAGGCCCGGAUAUGCCGACUUUUGAAACAUCCAAACAUCGUACGCCUCCAUGACAGUAUUUCUGAAGAAGGGUUUCACUACCUCGUGUUUGACCUUGUUACCGGCGGAGAGCUGUUUGAAGACAUUGUGGCCAGGGAAUACUACAGUGAAGCCGAUGCCAGCCACUGUAUACAUCAGAUUCUGGAGAGUGUUAACCACAUCCACCAGCAUGACAUCGUCCACCGGGACCUGAAGCCUGAGAACCUGCUGCUGGCGAGUAAAUGCAAGGGUGCUGCUGUCAAGCUGGCUGAUUUUGGCCUAGCCAUCGAAGUACAGGGAGAGCAACAGGCUUGGUUUGGUUUUGCUGGCACCCCAGGUUACUUGUCCCCUGAGGUCUUGAGGAAAGAUCCCUAUGGAAAACCUGUGGAUAUCUGGGCCUGCGGGGUCAUCCUGUAUAUCCUCCUGGUGGGCUACCCUCCUUUCUGGGAUGAGGAUCAGCACAAGCUGUAUCAGCAGAUCAAGGCUGGAGCCUAUGAUUUCCCAUCACCAGAGUGGGACACAGUGACUCCAGAAGCCAAGAACUUGAUCAACCAGAUGCUGACCAUAAAUCCUGCAAAGCGUAUUACAGCUGACCAGGCUCUCAAGCACCCAUGGGUCUGCCAACGGUCCACAGUGGCAUCUAUGAUGCAUCGUCAAGAGACAGUGGAGUGCCUACGCAAGUUCAAUGCCCGGAGAAAACUGAAGGGUGCCAUCCUCACAACCAUGCUUGUCUCCAGGAACUUUUCAGUUGGCAGGCAGAGCUCCGCCCCCGCCUCGCCUGCCGCGAGCGCCGCCGGCCUGGCCGGGCAAGCUGCCAAAAGCCUAUUGAACAAGAAGUCGGACGGCGGUGUCAAGAAAAGGAAGUCGAGUUCCAGCGUGCACCUAAUGCCACAGAGCAACAACAAAAACAGUCUCGUAAGCCCAGCCCAAGAGCCCGCGCCCUUGCAGACGGCCAUGGAGCCACAAACCACCGUGGUACACAACGCUACCGAUGGGAUCAAGGGCUCGACAGAGAGCUGCAACACCACCACAGAAGAUGAGGACCUCAAAGCUGCCCCGCUCCGCACUGGGAAUGGCAGCUCGAUGCCUGAAGGACGGAGCUCCCGGGACAGGACAGCCCCCUCUGCAGGCAUGCAGCCCCAGCCUUCUCUCUGCUCCUCAGCCAUGCGGAAACAAGAGAUCAUUAAGAUCACAGAACAACUGAUUGAGGCCAUCAACAAUGGGGACUUUGAGGCCUACACGAAGAUUUGUGAUCCAGGCCUCACUUCCUUUGAGCCUGAGGCCCUGGGUAACCUCGUGGAAGGGAUGGAUUUCCAUAAGUUUUACUUUGAGAAUCGUGAGUGGUCCUGUCCAAGAACAGCAAGCCCAUCCACACCACCAUCCUGAACCCACACGUCCACGUGAUCGGAGAGGACGCGGCUUGCAUUGCCUACAUCCGCCUCACCCAGUACAUCGAUGGGCAGGGUCGGCCUCGCACCAGCCAGUCGGAGGAGACCCGGGUCUGGCAUCGCCGGGAUGGCAAGUGGCUCAAUGUCCACUAUCACUGCUCAGGGGCCCCUGCCGCACCGCUGCAGUGAGCUCAGCCACAGGGGCAUGAGGAGAUCCCAGCCGGAGGUCAAACCUUCGCAGCCAGUGGCUCUGGAGGGCCUGAGUGACAGCGGCAGUCCUGUUCGUUUGAGGUUUAAAACAAUUAAAUUACAAAGCGGCAGCAGCCAAUGCACGCCCCUGCAUGCAGCCCUCCCGCCCGCCCUUCGUGUCUGUCUCUGCUGUACCGAGGUGUUUUUUACAUUUAAGGGGGAAAAAAAGAAAAAAAAAGAUUGUUAAAAAAAAAGUGGGAUCCAUACCAUGAUGUGUUUUAAAACCAUCGGCAGCCCUUGGGCUGGCAAGAAGGCAGGAGUCUGUGUGAUGCCCAUCCUGGCACAAGCAGUGGGCUCACCCACCAGCCCUGAAGAGGUGAGCUCGGCCUCUGGCCUCCAUGGACUCGGGACCAGGCAAGAACUCUGACAGAGCUCUGGGGGCUGUGUGAUGUGACUGCAGCCUCUGAGAUGGCCUGCCUGCCCCAGGUCUCGGAAUGGACUUCUUCAGAAUUUGUAUACGCGCCUAGAACGAGGCUUAUGAGAACACCAUGGCCAACAGACCUACUUGGGAGAGAAUGCAGAGCUCCCAGCCUGCUGUGGAGGCAGCUGAGAAGCAGUGGCCUCAGGACUGAGAAGCAGGGCCCGGACGUUGCUGUACUCUACCAUUUAGCGUAGAAGGGAAGAGAAUUGGUGCUGCAGAAGCGUGUCUGCUCCGAAGCUGAUGAGAAACCUCGUGUUAGUCUGACAUGCACUCACUUACUCAUCCGUUUCUAUAGGAUGCACAAUGCACGUGGGCUCUGAUCUUGAGGCCCAAUCCUAGCAGCUGGGAAGUGGGAGGGGUUGCCGCUUUGCUUUGUGUUUGUUUUCUUAUAACUUAGCAAGGAGAGAGCCAGGCCUUGGUCUGGGCUCCCCCUGCCGCCUUUGGCAGUUCUGUUUCCGUGCUGACUUGGACCAUCUUUGUCUUGCCUUCUCUUGGUGGUGGUCCCUGUGCUGACUCUCAUCUGGGCCUGGGCCCUCUGCCAAGUGCUCCUGUGGGAUGGGAGGAGUGAGGCAGCGGGACUGAGUUGAUGGUUUCUAUGCAUUCAGGCUGCCCUCAGGGCUGCCUCCCUUCUUACUGUUCCCUUGCUGCACGCCAAUCUCUUUUCCUGUCUUUGAGACUGACUUGGCUACUCUGGCAAGAAGAGGUAUCCUCUAUAAAGAGACUUCUUUACUGACCAACUGAAGUUUAGACUUACUGCUGGACAAUCUGCAUGGGCAUCACCCCCGUCUCACCUGCAUGUACCCAAAAGAGACGUCCAGAGCCAAGGCUCCUACCUUCGUUGUCCCUCUCUGUGCUCAAGGAGUUCCAUUCCAGGAGGGAAGAAUGUAUACUCUAAGCAGAUAGCAGAGAUGAUAAUGGAGGAGCAAUUGGUCAUGGCUUUGGUUUCCCCCCAAACAACUGUGCAGGUCUGUCUGCACAAAUGUCUGCACUAUUGGGGGAGAGAUGGGUUAGACCCCAGCUCCCUGGACUGCCUUAAGGAGGCACAGGAGCUGGGAGAAGAGGCAAAGCUACAGGUUUACCUUGGAGCCAGCUGAGAAGAGAGCAGACUCACAGGUGCUGGUGCUUGGAUUUAGCCAGGCUCCUCCGAGCACCUCCUGCAUGCCCCAGCCCCCGGGUCCCCGCCGUCUCCCGCCCAGCAGCCUGCAGUACCAGCACGCAGACACCUUCACCACAGGGUUUGGUUUUGCUGGCUUGAAGACAAAUGGUCUUAGAGUUCAUUAAGACCCAUAGCUUCAUAUGGCUGCUCCAGCCCCACUUCUUAGCAUUCUUACUCCUCUUCUGGGGCUAAUGUCAGCAUCUAUAGACAAUAGACUUAAAAACAACAACAACAACACCUUUUAAACAGGAAAUGGAAGGCAUUUGAUGCAGAAUUUUUGCAUGAUGACAUAGAAAUAAUUUAAAAAUAGUGUUUGUUCUGAAUGUUGGUAGACCCUUCAUAGCUUUGUUACAAUGAAACCUUGAACUGAAGAUAUUUAAUAAAAUAACCUUUAAACAGUC